GAUGAAGAACGUAACGAAAUGCGAUAAGUAAUGUGAAUUGCAGAAUUCAGUGAAUCAUCGAAUCUUUGAACGCACAUUGCGCCCCCCAGUAUUCUGGCGGGCAUGCCUGUUCGAGCGUCAUUUCAACCAUCAAGCCCUGCUUGUGUUGGGGUCCUGCGGCUGCCCGCAGGCCCUGAAAACCAGUGGCGGGCUCGCUAGUCACACCGAGCGCAGUAGCACAUCUCGCUCAGGGCGUGCGGCGGGCUCCAGCCGUUAAAGCACCCACCUUUCGCAAGGUUGACCUCGGAUCAGGUAGGAAUACCCGCUGAACUUAAGCAUAUCAAUAAGCGGAGGA
This 334-nucleotide unclassified non-coding RNA is filed under the name soil metagenome. Its description in RNAcentral is "partial contains 5.8S ribosomal RNA, internal transcribed spacer 2, and large subunit ribosomal RNA". The stretch from base 1 to 120 matches the Rfam family "5.8S ribosomal RNA", at positions 35 to 154 of the family's 154-position model. The record is from RNAcentral.